RNAcentral lists this long non-coding RNA (338 nucleotides) under Homo sapiens (human). RNAcentral describes it as "non-protein coding lnc-SLC9A6-1:1". Lineage: Eukaryota; Metazoa; Chordata; Mammalia; Primates; Hominidae. The record is from RNAcentral.
AAACAGGAAUGCCGGGAAGAAGCAGAAAGCUACACGGAAAAAGGCCUUUCCUGUGCUUCAGCUCCCUGGAAACUGGCACUGCAGAAGGAGGCAAGGGUGUUAAAACGAGGAGGCAGUGUCAGGACAAAAUCCCAGGAUCUGGAACCCCAAAUACUUGGCUCGCGGGAAGUGCUCAGUAAACCAUUUUAAGGUCCUGGAGAAAGAUUCGCGCAAAAAGAGGUGUAGCGCGGGGGGAGUGUUUUGUCGUGAAAAGAACCAGCUUACAUUAAGGAAGAAAUGAAAGAGGAAAUUUUAAAAUGCUAAUAACGCAGCCUUCUUGCCUUGUCUCUAUCUCUGAU